GAUGAACGCUGGCGGCGUGCCUAAUACAUGCAAGUCGAGCGAACAGACGAGGAGCUUGCUCCUCUGACGUUAGCGGCGGACGGGUGAGUAACACGUGGAUAACCUACCUAUAAGACUGGGAUAACUUCGGGAAACCGGAGCUAAUACCGGAUAAUAUAUUGAACCGCAUGGUUCAAUAGUUAAAGACGGUUUUGCUGUCACUUAUAGAUGGAUCCGCGCCGCAUUAGCUAGUUGGUAAGGUAACGGCUUACCAAGGCAACGAUGCGUAGCCGACCUGAGAGGGUGAUCGGCCACACUGGAACUGAGACACGGUCCAGACUCCUACGGGAGGCAGCAGUAGGGAAUCUUCCGCAAUGGGCGAAAGCCUGACGGAGCAACGCCGCGUGAGUGAUGAAGGUCUUCGGAUCGUAAAACUCUGUUAUUAGGGAAGAACAAACGUGUAAGUAACUAUGCACGUCUUGACGGUACCUAAUCAGAAAGCCACGGCUAACUACGUG
RNAcentral lists this ribosomal RNA (497 nucleotides) under uncultured bacterium. RNAcentral's name for it is "partial 16S ribosomal RNA". It matches the Rfam family "Bacterial small subunit ribosomal RNA", at positions 28 to 507 of the family's 1533-position model. The record is from RNAcentral.